GAAAUGCGAAAAGUAAUGCGAAUUGCAGAAUUCAGCGAGUCAUCGAGUUUUUGAACGCACAUUGCGCCCCUCGGCAUUCCGUGGGGCAUGCCUGUUCGAGCGUCAUCUACACCCUCAAGCUCUGCUUGGUGUUGGGCGUCUGUCCCGCCUCCGCGCGCGGACUCGCCCCAAAUGCAUUGGCAGCGGUUCCUUGCCCCCCUCUUUGCGCAGCACAUUGCCAUUCGAGGCGGCGGCGGCCCGCGUCCAACAAGCUCAACCCCCCCGUCUUUGACCUCGGAUCAGGUAGGGAUACCCGCUGAACUUAAGC
This 307-nucleotide unclassified non-coding RNA is filed under the name plant metagenome. Its description in RNAcentral is "partial contains 5.8S ribosomal RNA, internal transcribed spacer 2, and large subunit ribosomal RNA". The stretch from base 1 to 105 matches the Rfam family "5.8S ribosomal RNA", at positions 50 to 154 of the family's 154-position model. The record is from RNAcentral.